GAACGCUAGCGGCAGGCUUAACACAUGCAAGUCGAGGGGCAGCGAGAGAGUAGCAAUACUUUGUCGGCGACCGGCGGACGGGUGCGUAACGCGUAUGCAACCUACCUUAUACAGGGGGAUAACCUUUCGAAAGGGAGACUAAUACCGCAUAACAUUACUUUGAGGCAUCUUGAGGUAAUUAAAUCUUCGGAGGUAUAAGAUGGGCAUGCGUAGCAUUAGCUAGAUGGUGCGGUAACGGCGUACCAUGGCGACGAUGCUUAGGGGUUCUGAGAGGAAGGUCCCCCACACUGGUACUGAGAUACGGACCAGACUCCUACGGGAGGCAGCAGUGAGGAAUAUUGGUCAAUGGUCGGAAGACUGAACCAGCCAUGCCGCGUGCAGGAAGAAUGUCUUAUGGAUUGUAAACUGCUUUUGUAUGGGGCUAAUAAUAACUUUGCGAAGUUAGAUGCAGGUACCAUACGAAUAAGGAUCGGCUAACUCCGUG
RNAcentral lists this ribosomal RNA (484 nucleotides) under uncultured bacterium. Its description in RNAcentral is "bacterial SSU rRNA". It matches the Rfam family "Bacterial small subunit ribosomal RNA", at positions 31 to 507 of the family's 1533-position model. The record is from RNAcentral.